RNAcentral lists this ribosomal RNA (253 nucleotides) under uncultured bacterium. Its description in RNAcentral is "partial 16S ribosomal RNA". It matches the Rfam family "Bacterial small subunit ribosomal RNA", at positions 524 to 776 of the family's 1533-position model. The record is from RNAcentral.
UACAGAGGGUGCGAGCGUUAAUCGGAAUUACUGGGCGUAAAGCGCGCGUAGGCGGUUCGUUAAGUCAAAUGUGAAAUCCCCGAGCUUAACUUGGGAAUUGCAUUCGAUACUGGCGAGCUAGAGUAUGGGAGAGGAAGGUAGAAUUCCAGGUGUAGCGGUGAAAUGCGUAGAGAUCUGGAGGAAUACCGAUGGCGAAGGCAGCCUUCUGGCCUAAUACUGACGCUGAGGUGCGAAAGCAUGUGGAGCAAACAGG